Molecule: ribosomal RNA, 253 nt
Filed under: uncultured bacterium
Lineage: Bacteria
Description: partial 16S ribosomal RNA
Rfam family: Bacterial small subunit ribosomal RNA
Source: RNAcentral
UACGAAGGGUGCAAGCGUUGCUCGGAAUUACUGGGCGUAAAGCGUGCGUAGGUGGUUUGUUAAGUCUGUUGUGAAAGCCCCGGGCUCAACCUGGGAAUGGCAAUGGAUACUGGCAAGCUAGAGUGCGGUAGAGGGUAGUGGAAUUCCCGGUGUAGCGGUGAAAUGCGUAGAGAUCGGGAGGAACACCAGUGGCGAAGGCGGCUACCUGGACCAGCACUGACACUGAGGCACGAAAGCGUGGGGAGCAAACAGG